This 414-nucleotide RNase P RNA is filed under the name Caulobacter sp. Its description in RNAcentral is "RNase P RNA component class A". It matches the Rfam family "Bacterial RNase P class A". From Rfam's summary of the family: Ribonuclease P (RNase P) is a ubiquitous endoribonuclease, found in archaea, bacteria and eukarya as well as chloroplasts and mitochondria. Its best characterised activity is the generation of mature 5'-ends of tRNAs by cleaving the 5'-leader elements of precursor-tRNAs. The record is from RNAcentral. Lineage: Bacteria; Pseudomonadati; Pseudomonadota; Alphaproteobacteria; Caulobacterales; Caulobacteraceae.
AGGGGGCCUGAGGCAGCCGCGUGAUCUUUGGAUCGCGAGGAAAGUCCGGGCUCCACGAAACAAGGGUGGCGGGUAACGCCCGCCGGGCGCGCGUCUUCGGGCGCGGGUCAAGGGAAAGUGCCACAGAGAGUAUACCGCCGAUGGACCGGAACGGGUCACAGGCAAGGGUGAAAGGGUGCGGCAAGAGCGCACCGGGACGCUGGCAACAGGGUCCGCAUGGCAAACCCCACCCGGAGCAAGGCCGAAUAGGGGUCUCGCGCUGAAAGGCAGGCGUGUUUCGCGCCGAGAGACCCGGGUUGGCUGCUAGAGCCGUCGAGCAAUCGCCGGCCCAGAUGAAUGGCUGCCACCUGAGGCCCGUCCCGCAAGGGAUACCGCCUUGGGAGACAGAACCCGGCUUAUGAUGGCCCCCUGAUG